GCAUUGGUGGUUCAGUGAUAGCGUGCUUGCCUUCCAUGCGGGAGACCUGGGUUUGAUUCCUGGUCAGUGCA
RNAcentral lists this transfer RNA (71 nucleotides) under Loxodonta africana (African savanna elephant). It matches the Rfam family "tRNA". Rfam says of the family: Transfer RNA (tRNA) molecules are approximately 80 nucleotides in length. Their secondary structure includes four short double-helical elements and three loops (D, anti-codon, and T loops). Lineage: Eukaryota; Metazoa; Chordata; Mammalia; Proboscidea; Elephantidae. The record is from Rfam by way of RNAcentral.